AACUAUCAGUGGUGGAUCACUUGGCUCGUGGAUCGAUGAAAACCGCAGCUAGCUGCGAUAAUUGACGCGAAUUGCAGAAACAAUGAGCGUUGAAAUGUUGAAUGCAAAUGGCGCGGCCGGGGCAUGCCCCAGCCGCACGUCUGGUUCAGGGAUG
Molecule: non-coding RNA, 154 nt
Organism: Onthophagus taurus
Lineage: Eukaryota; Metazoa; Arthropoda; Insecta; Coleoptera; Scarabaeidae
Source: RefSeq, a predicted model, not a curated record